RNAcentral lists this ribosomal RNA (473 nucleotides) under uncultured bacterium. Its description in RNAcentral is "partial 16S ribosomal RNA". It matches the Rfam family "Bacterial small subunit ribosomal RNA", at positions 29 to 507 of the family's 1533-position model. The record is from RNAcentral.
ACGAACGCUGGCGGCGUGCUUCACCCAUGCAAGUCGAGCGGUAAGGCUCCUUCGGGAGUACACGAGCGGCGAACGGGUGAGUAACACGUGAGUAAUCUGCCCUUCACUUCGGGAUAACCACCGGAAACGGUGGCUAAUACCGAAUACGACCAGUCUUCGCAUGAGGUGCUGGUGGAAAGUCUUUUCGGUGAAGGAUGUGCUCGCGGCCUAUCAGCUUGUUGGUGGGGUAAUGGCCUACCAAGGCUUCGACGGGUAGCCGGCCUGAGAGGGUGACCGGCCACACUGGGACUGAGACACGGCCCAGACUCCUACGGGAGGCAGCAGUGGGGAAUAUUGGACAAUGGGCGAAAGCCUGAUCCAGCAACGCCGCGUGAGGGAUGACGGCCUUCGGGUUGUAAACCUCUUUCAGUACCGACGAAGCGCCCUGUCGGGUGGUGACGGUAGGUACAGAAGAAGGACCGGCCAACUACGUG